UGUCUUUCUUGGUUCUCACUCAUUCAGACUUCAUUUCCUAAAACAGAAAUAUCAAAAUGUUAUGAUGAAGCCUCAUUAAAUUUCACACAGGUAUCAACAGGGUGUCUGCAGCUUUAACAUAUACAUUUCACUUUCUUAUGGCGUUUAAGAAGCAAAGUCCAAAAUCAUAUCGUUUUGGUCAAAUGGACAAAGUUGAUGGCUAUUGUCCUCGUCUAUGCUCUUUCACA
This is a long non-coding RNA of Thalassophryne amazonica, 227 nucleotides long. RefSeq lists it as uncharacterized. The record is from RefSeq and is a predicted model, not a curated record. The transcript has 3 exons. Lineage: Eukaryota; Metazoa; Chordata; Actinopteri; Batrachoidiformes; Batrachoididae.